CGCCCGCGGGCGCUGACCGAGCGGGGCCGGGGACGCGCCUCCGCCCGCUGCCUGGAAGCCGCUCGGCGCGGGGCCAACAACCAGAACGACGCCCCGCCCGCCCUGCGGACUCGCCCGGAGCCUCAGGGCGAAGCCCCAGCCCGGGGCGGUGGACCAGGAGGAAUCCGAGGCUCCUCUGGGGAUAACGUGCGCAGGAGUGAGUGAAGAAGCCAGGACUGGACUGCGGUGUCUGCUUCUCCCUGGAGUCCGGAUCG
RNAcentral lists this long non-coding RNA (254 nucleotides) under Heterocephalus glaber (naked mole-rat). Its description in RNAcentral is "lncRNA (ENSHGLG00000039709.1)". The record is from RNAcentral. Lineage: Eukaryota; Metazoa; Chordata; Mammalia; Rodentia; Bathyergidae.